This 333-nucleotide ribosomal RNA is filed under the name uncultured bacterium. Its description in RNAcentral is "partial 16S ribosomal RNA". It matches the Rfam family "Bacterial small subunit ribosomal RNA", at positions 338 to 687 of the family's 1533-position model. The record is from RNAcentral.
CCUACGGGAGGCAGCAGUGGGGAAUAUUGCACAAUGGGGGAAACCCUGAUGCAGCAACGCCGCGUGAGUGAGGACGUAUUUAGGGAUGGAAAGCCCUAUCAGCAGGGAAGAGAAAAGAAGGUACCUGAAAAAGAAGCCCCGGCUAACUACGUGCCAGCAGCCGCGGUAAUACGUAGGGGGCAAGCGUUAUCCGGAUUUACUGGGUGUAAAGGGAGCGUAGGCGGAAAGGCAGGUCAGAAGUGAAAACCCAAGGCUCAACCAUGGGACUGCUUUUGAAACUGUCGAACUAGAGUACGGGAGAGGUAAGAGGAAUGCCUAGUGUAGCGGUGAAAU